UCAUGCACCUCGAUGACAAAAACGUCCACCCGCAGGUCGGUCCAAGGUCCGGUGUCACCUCGAUUGUGUUAUAUUUGAGCAAAAAUGAGCAGGGGUUUGAUAAUAUAACUUGUUUUUAGGUGCACGCGCUGUUGCUUAUUUCUCGUGGAGUAUUUAUUAAGGAUCAGUUUUUAGUGGAUUGAGAGAAUGGCGGAGGCUCCGGAAGACGUGCACACGGAUGACUGUCUCACCGAAUACACACACAUCUACAGCCAGGACCUGCUCAAGGAUCAAGUGGCCUUUAUAACAGGCGGCGGCUCCGGCAUCGGCUUCCGUAUCGCAGAGGUUCUGAUGAGGCACGGCUGCGACACUGUGAUCGCCAGCAGGAAUCUGGAGAAGCUCACUGAGGCGGCGAAGAAGCUGACCAGUGCCACGGGACGUCACUGCCUGCCCCUGCAGGUGGACGUGCGUCAGCCGGACACCAUCUCCACCGCCGUGGAUGAGAUGCUCAAAGAGUUCGGACGUGUCGAUAUCCUUAUCAACAACGCAGCAGGGAACUUCCUGUGUCCUGCCACCGCUCUGUCCUUCAAUGCCUUCAAAACGGUAAUGGAGAUUGACACCAUGGGAACGUUUAACACCAGCAAAGUCAUCUAUGAAAAAUGGUUCAAGGAUCACGGUGGCUCCAUUGUAAACAUCUCAGCCACACUCGGAUACAAAGGUCAAGCACUCCAGGUGCAUGCUGGGUCGGCAAAGGCUGCCAACGAUGCCAUGACAAGACACUUGGCAGUGGAAUGGGGUCCCAGUGGCGUGAGGGUGAACACUGUGGCACCAGGUCCAAUCUCUGGCACUGAGGGUUACCGCAGACUUGGUGGCUCUCAUGCAGAGAGCGCAGGAAUUUUCCGGACUAUUCCGCUGCAGAGGGCGGGAAAUAAAACAGAAAUGGCGCACGCCGUUCUUUUCCUGGCGAGCCGGGCGUCGUCGUACGUCACCGGUGCCACAGUGGUGGCGGACGGAGGGGCGUGGCUUACCUCGGCCAACGAUGUGGAGCGCUUGCUGGGUAUACACUCAUCUCGCUCUGCUAAACUCUGAGAGAGGCAGCACUGCAUGCAGGCAUGGAGGCCACACCUGUUAAAUUUAUUGGUUCUGACUGACACGGAGGCCACACCUCUACAUUCACUGGGACUGAUGGGUAUGAAGGCCAUGCCUCCUUCUCUACUGGGACUGACUUGUACAGAGGCCACACCUCCUUUUCUACUGGAACUGACAGGCACAGAGGCCAUGCCUUCUUCUCUACUCGGACUGACAGAGCUUUGGUCCCAGGAGAAAAGGAAAGACAAAUAAAGCUGAGCUGGGAGGAAUCAAAGACGGACACAGUCAUUAUAGAUUCUGAUCAUUAAAAUAUGUUAAAUAAUGAGAGAUACUGCACACCUUCAACUGUCUUCAUCAGUAUGUGCUACAUGGUAGGUAUGACGCUGGACUGUGAAAAAAAAUUGUACUUAAUAUGCCUUCUGGAGAUGUGUAGUCUAUUUGAGAUAAUUAUCGUUAAUGACUGGAGAUGAGAAAUAAUCAUUUCCUGAGGGGUUCUUUGUUUUAGUAUACCUUUCUAAAGGGGGUUUAAAAGGGGAACUCCCUACACUAUUAUUUCUUUACUUUUCACCUGUAGAACCUGUUUUAAAUGCAAUCUAGAUAAUCAUGUUAGAUGAUGUUUUACACUACUACAUCAAACUUAGAAAACUGACUUACCCCAUGGCUCUGUUUCACAAACUCCUUUAAAGAUUGAAGAUUUGUAAAAUGUUUAGAAAACAUGCAUGGUUUCCAUAAUAAAUAAUUUCCAUUA
RNA transcript from Hemibagrus wyckioides, 1816 nucleotides. It is a transcript of the gene named 2,4-dienoyl CoA reductase 2, peroxisomal, with no coding region annotated. NCBI's taxonomy places the organism in Eukaryota, Metazoa, Chordata, Actinopteri, Siluriformes, Bagridae. The transcript has 11 exons. The record is from RefSeq and is a predicted model, not a curated record.